GGCGGCUUCGUCUAGUGGUCUAGGACGCUGGCCUCUCACGCCGGUAACACGGGUUCGAACCCCGUAGUCGCUA
RNAcentral lists this transfer RNA (73 nucleotides) under Fibrobacter sp. RNAcentral describes it as "tRNA-Glu". It matches the Rfam family "tRNA". From Rfam's summary of the family: Transfer RNA (tRNA) molecules are approximately 80 nucleotides in length. Their secondary structure includes four short double-helical elements and three loops (D, anti-codon, and T loops). Lineage: Bacteria; Pseudomonadati; Fibrobacterota; Fibrobacteria; Fibrobacterales; Fibrobacteraceae. The record is from RNAcentral.